GUCCACUGUGGGGCGCUGUAGAAUCAUAAUAUCCAUAACAACUACAGGUCAAACAUGGAAAUAGUUCACAUAGUUUUUCCACCAUUCAUUUUUCCCACAGGGCUGUGUUUUGUUUAGGCUCACCGUGGUGUGAUGUUUUGAUAACCAUGUAAAUCUCUCUAGGACAAGGUGACUGAGGGUGAAUGUACACUAGAUAAAUAGCGGUAAAUUGCUGUGUGCCGCUUAGGCCGCCCGUUGUGACUCCGGCAAGAAUUCAGCAGAACAAGUUUUUGUCCAAAUGGCUGGGAGAACCUAUUCAAGUAGCUAGCUAACAGCCAUGGAGGGUGAAAGGAUAGCAGCCCCAACUGUCAGUGAGAGAGGAGAGAGGAGGCUAUUCUGGAUAAGGCAGGUACUUUUGUGUAGUUCCUGUUCCUAGAAGUGAGGACUAAGAUAAUAGUAACAUAAUAUUCAGUGUGGUGUAAUUUGACUAGAAUGAAAUCUGUUUCUUGUGAGGUUUUCUGUCCUCAGAUAAAGAGCGCUAUGAAAGCCAGUCUACAUAUGAAGAGGUCCCAAUGAAGAGCAGUGGUUCUCAGUCCUGGGGACUCAAAGAGGGGCAUAUUGUUGUUUUUGCCUCAGCACUGCACAGCUGAUUCAAAUGAUAAACUCAUUAUCAAGCUUCAAGUGGUAUUUCUUUAUUCAUUUGUGAUGCCGUCCUUGAUAUGAUCCUGUUAUUGUCACAUGCUACACAUGCACAUACAGUGGGGCAAAACAGUAUUUAGUCAGCCACCAAUUGUGCAAGUUCUCCCACUUAAAAAGAUGAGAGAGGCCUGUAAUUCUCAUCAUAGGUACACUUCAACUAUGAGAGACAAAAUGAGAAACAAAUCCAGAAAAUCACAUUGUAAGAUUUUUUAUGAAUUUAUUUGCAAAUUAUGGUGGAAAAUAAGCAUUUGGUCAAUAACAAAAGUUUAUCUCAAUACUUUGUUAUAUACCCUUUGUUGGCAAUGACAGAGGUCAAACGUUUUCUGUAAGUCUUCACAAGGUUUUCACACAGUGUUGCUGAUAUUUUGGCCCAUUUCUCCAUGCAGAUCUCCUCUAGAGCAGUGAUGUUUUGGGGCUGUUGCUGGGCAACACAGACUUUCAACUCCCUCCAAAGAUUUUCUAUGGGGUUGAGAUCUGGAGACUGGAUAGGCCGCUCCAGGACCUUGAAAUGCUUCUUACGAAGCCACUCCUUCGUUGCCCGGGCGGUGGGUUUGGGAUCAUUGUCAUGCUGAAAGACCCAGCCACGUUUCAUCUUCAAUACCCUUGCUGAUGGAAGGAGGUUUUCACUCAAAAUCUCACGAUACAUAGACCCAUUAAUUUUUUCCUUUACACGGAUCAGCCCCAAAGCAUGAUGUUUCCACCCCCAUGCUUCACAGUAGGUAUGGUGUUCUUUGGAUGCAACUCAGCAUUCUUUGUCCUCCAAACACGCUGAGUUGAGUUUUUACCAAAAAGUUAUAUUUUGGUUUCAUCUGACCAUAUGACAUUCUCCCAAUCUUCUUCUGGAUUAUCCAAAUGCUCUCUAGCAAACUUCAGACGGGCCUGGACAUGUACUGGCUUAAGCAGGGGGACACGUCUGGCACUGCAGGAUUUGAGUCCUUGGCGGUGUAGUGUGUUACUGAUGGUAGGCUUUGUUACUUUGGUCCCAGCUCUCUGCAGGUCAUUCACUAGGUCCCCCCAUGUGGUUCUGGAAUUUUUGCUCACCGUUCUUGUGAUCAUUUUGACCCCACGGGGUGAGAUCUUGCGUGGAGCCCCAGAUCAAGGGAGAUUAUCAGUGAUCUUGUAUGUCUUCCAUUUCCUAAUAAUUGCUUCCACAGUUGCUUUCUUCAAACCAAGCUGCUUACCUAUUGCAGAUUCGGUCUUCCCAGCCUGGUGCAGGUCUACAAUUUUGUUUCUGGUGUCCUUUGACAGCUCUUUGGUCUUGGUCAUAGUGGAGUUUGUAGUGUGACUGUUUGAGGUUGUAGACAGGUGUCUUUUAUCCUUAUAACAAGUUCAAACAGGUGCCAUUAAUACAGGUAACGAGUGGAGGACAGAGGAGCCUCUUAAAUAAGAAGUUACAGGUCUGUGAGAGACAGAAAUCUUGCUUGUUUGUUGGUGACCAAGUCCUUAUUUUCCACCAUAAUUUGCAAAACAAUUCAUUAAAAAUGCUACAAUGUGAUUUAUUUAUUUUUUUCUCAUUUUGUCUGUCACAGUUGAAGUGUACCUAUGACGAAAAUUACAGGCCUCUCUCGUCUUUUUAAGUGGGAGAACUUGCACAAUUGGUGGCUGACUAAAUACUUUUUUGCCCCACUGUAUGUAUGCCCAUGCAUCUCUAUCAAUCCAAUGUUAUCAUGAUUUGCUAUCAGGGAUAUUAUACUUUAGUAAUCCAUAAUAACCUGGUGAUGUAACAGUCUAGUAAUUACAUUGUCUUCCAUAUUCCCACAGAUACCUUGUAACUGGAGAUUCCUUCAAAACAUUUGCCUACAGUUACCGUGUAGGGCACUGCAAGGUCAGGUGACCAGGGUGUGAAGGCUACCGGUGUCCUGCGUAACUUCAUGAAGAUGGACUCUAGGACCAGGAGAGGACCUGCAGCUCACCGCCAAGUGCCAGAGAAGUCUGCUGCUCUGCAGGAUUGUUCAGUCAUUUUUUUAUCAAUGUUCAUAAAUUCCAAUUAUCUUUAUCUGUCUGAUACCCAGAGGUUGUAAAGUUCUGGUCUUAAAUAAAACAGACAGAAUUCCCA
Oncorhynchus tshawytscha (Chinook salmon) is the source of this 2734-nucleotide long non-coding RNA. The record is from Ensembl. Lineage: Eukaryota; Metazoa; Chordata; Actinopteri; Salmoniformes; Salmonidae.